CUCACACAUUUUUAUCACCCCCUAUAAAGUAUCUGAGUAUUUGUAACUUCCUAUAGGAAUUUGUUAAACUCCUAAAAACCCAUUGGUGUCACUAAAGCAGUUUUAACUGCAGUCUUCUAGACAGAGGUCUCAGAUGUUGUUCCUGGGAUCUGCAUUCUGACAUAGUUCCCAGAGCUCAGAGAAGAAAUUUAGUGGGAGGCAGGACCUGAGGUGCUGAAGGUCAAGUCUCUCGAAGGACUUCAUUACAAUGGAAGUAACUGCAGUGGGUCUUUAUUCAUUCAAGCUACUUAUGGCUGCUUUCCUUGGGACUGGGAAAAUUAUAGUUGCUUCCAGUACCUAAUUGCAGGGAGGUGUUAGAAACCCUAAUUAGUUCCCCUUGGUCUGUACACACUUCAAACUCUUUGUGCCUGACAUUCCACUACUGUUACAUUUACACUCAGGUCUUGAUGAUUUAUUAUGGGUACAACGAUUUCACUGAAGAAACAAAAAAAUGUGUCAGAGCUUCUGCUGAUGUUGUGUUUUAUCAUUUCAGUCCAACAGGUGGAGGUAGAAUCAGGGGAGGAUUUUGUCCUGCUGCCUUGUGAAGCCAAAGACCUGCCUGAAGACAUCAGAGUAGAGUGGAAGGACAGAAAAAGCAGGAAGGUCCAUGUUUAUCAGAACGGUUUUAAUCUGGCUGGAGAACAACACAAUAUUUACAAAAGACGAACAGAGUUGAAGAGAAACCAGCUGGUACCUGGAGACGUCAGUCUGAGUCUGAAGAACCCAACAGAGGAAGACACAGGAUUCUUCACCUGCAUCGUUUACAACAGGGAGGGAAACAUUCUGAUGAAGAAACAGGUGGAGCUGAAUGUCAAAGUCCAACAGGUGGAGGUGGAGUCAGGGGAGGAGUCUGUCCUGCUGCCUUGUGAAACCCUAGACCUGCCUGAAGACAUCAGAGUAGAGUGGAGGAACAAAGCAAACAGGAGGGUCCAUGUGUAUCACACCGGUUCUGAUCAGCCUGGAGAACAACACAGUUUUUACAGCGGACGAACAGAGAUGCAGAGAAACCCUGUGAAACCUGGAGACGUCAGUCUGAGUCUGAAGAACCUAACAGAGGAAGACACAGACACCUUUACCUGCACCGUCUUCAACAAGGAGGGAAACAUCCUGAUGAAGAAACAGGUGGAGCUGGAGGUCAAAGAGAGAACUCGGGGUCCAGAUGAACCAGUGGAUGUAAGAGACAGUGGCAGCCCCACUGCUUCCACUCCUCUGAUGGCGGAUCAGUUGGUCUGAUCUUCAGUCUCUGGUCUGUUGCUCUGUCAAAAGUUGUCUGACUCAUUUCUACGCUCUGAUAAUUGAGAGUUGAGUGACUCAUUCUCAUCAGAUGUAGCAGUUAAUGACAGUCACAGAGCAGAGAUGGUGUCUCAUAUCUCUCUGCAUGUACUGUAUGGCCAAAAGAAACAGUUCUCUGUCAGUGAUACUGUCCUGUCUGUACCUUAAUGUCCCAUUUGUCAUGUAGUUCUUUUAACACAGUGAUCUUGUGCUUUUCUGGCAACACCAGUUGUUUUCUGUGGACUGUAUGUCUCCACAAAUUGUCAUUCUCAUCUGUCUCCAGCUUUUCCCAUUCAUAAACAAGACAAAGACUUUGAACACUGAAGUUUUUCUGUUCUUUUUGCAAUAGUUUCCCUCCUGACAAUUUACUCCGCAACACUGGCCCUAUGUGUACAUGUCUCUGAUCCUGUUGUAGCUGUUCUGGUGUUAUCAAAGCAAUGAUCGUGUCUGUGGCAUCAAGCACACCAUCAACAGAGAUGGCCAUUGAUUCUAGCUGUGUCUCUACAGCCUGAGCAGGAGCUCCCACUGCAUCAUAAGACAUUUCUUCUGUGCACUCAUUCAUUAGUUCCUCUACAUUCAUGGGCAUUCUAGACAGACUAUCAGCAUCAAUGUUCUCUUUUCCAGGAUGAUAUUUAAUAGUAAAGUUAGCUAACUCAGCUACCCAUCGACUUCCUGUAGCAUUCAGCUUAGCAGUGAAGAAAAUGGUUGGGUGAAAUCUGGGAAUACUAAUGCCAAGUCCUUAAUGUACUGGUGAUAGUAGCUAAAAACUCCAGGUUCAACACCCUUAUGGCAGCAGUGUCAGCAGGAUCCAUCUUAUUCCUUCAGCCGAUACUACUCUUCCACUUUUUACUUUUGACUAAUUCAAUAAAAUUUGCUUGCCUUUAAUUUGAUUCCA
Long non-coding RNA from Betta splendens (Siamese fighting fish), 2206 nucleotides. Lineage: Eukaryota; Metazoa; Chordata; Actinopteri; Anabantiformes; Osphronemidae. The record is from Ensembl.